This 23-nucleotide non-coding RNA is filed under the name Arabidopsis thaliana (thale cress). The record is from RNAcentral. RNAcentral also lists the same sequence under 5 other names. Lineage: Eukaryota; Viridiplantae; Streptophyta; Magnoliopsida; Brassicales; Brassicaceae.
GCAAUAACAGGUCUGUGAUGCCC